UGCAAGUCGAGCGGACAGAAGGGAGCUUGCUCCCGGAUGUUAGCGGCGGACGGGUGAGUAACACGUGGGUAACCUGCCUGUAAGACUGGGAUAACUCCGGGAAACCGGAGCUAAUACCGGAUAGUUCCUUGAACCGCAUGGUUCAAGGAUGAAAGACGGUUUCGGCUGUCACUUACAGAUGGACCCGCGGCGCAUUAGCUAGUUGGUGAGGUAACGGCUCACCAAGGCGACGAUGCGUAGCCGACCUGAGAGGGUGAUCGGCCACACUGGGACUGAGACACGGCCCAGACUCCUACGGGAGGCAGCAGUAGGGAAUCUUCCGCAAUGGACGAAAGUCUGACGGAGCAACGCCGCGUGAGUGAUGAAGGUUUUCGGAUCGUAAAGCUCUGUUGUUAGGGAAGAACAAGUGCAAGAGUAACUGCUUGCACCUUGACGGUACCUAACCAGAAAGCCACGGCUAACUACGUGCCAGCAGCCGCGGUAAUACGUAGGUGGCAAGCGUUGUCCGGAAUUAUUGGGCGUAAAGGGCUCGCAGGCGGUUUCUUAAGUCUGAUGUGAAAGCCCCCGGCUCAACCGGGGAGGGUCAUUGGAAACUGGGAAACUUGAGUGCAGAAGAGGAGAGUGGAAUUCCACGUGUAGCGGUGAAAUGCGUAGAGAUGUGGAGGAACACCAGUGGCGAAGGCGACUCUCUGGUCUGUAACUGACGCUGAGGAGCGAAAGCGUGGGGAGCGAACAGGAUUAGAUACGCUGGUAGUCCACGCCGUAAACGAUGAGUGCUAAGUGUUAGGGGGUUUCCGCCCCUUAGUGCUGCAGCUAACGCAUUAAGCACUCCGCCUGGGGAGUACGGACGCAAGACUGAAACUCUAAGGAAUUGACAGGGGCCCGCACAAGCGGUGGACCAUGUGGUUUAAUUCGAAGCAACGCGAAGAACCUUACCAGGUCUUGACAUCCUCUGACAACCCUAGAGAUAGGGCUUUCCCUUCGGGGACGGAGUGACAGGUGGUGCAUGGUUGUCU
RNAcentral lists this ribosomal RNA (1016 nucleotides) under Bacillus aerius. RNAcentral's name for it is "bacterial SSU rRNA". It matches the Rfam family "Bacterial small subunit ribosomal RNA", at positions 56 to 1054 of the family's 1533-position model. The record is from RNAcentral. Lineage: Bacteria; Bacillati; Bacillota; Bacilli; Caryophanales; Bacillaceae.